GCCCGUGUAGUGUAGUUGGUUAUCACUGUGGAUUCAUACGCUUCAUUGCGAAUGCAAAACCCGCCGACUCCAGUUCGAAUCUGGGCACAGGCA
This is a non-coding RNA of Naganishia cerealis, 93 nucleotides long. Lineage: Eukaryota; Fungi; Basidiomycota; Tremellomycetes; Filobasidiales; Filobasidiaceae. The record is from the annotation of a GenBank genome assembly.